AAGUAGAGGUAGAACAGCCAGCCACUGGGGGAGAGGGAAAUCUGCUGUCACUCCAGCAAACUCUGAGAGACUCUGGGUCCUCCUACAAGCUCUUACUGGGUCCCUGAAGUUGGUUUAUACUUCUAAACAGAAAUAUCCAGCUAUGUGGAAAGAAGUGAAUGGGUCUUCACCCUUAACAGUCUGCACAGAUAAGGACUGUUUGCUACCAGAGACCUUGUUUUUCCAAGUAAUGAAGUAAAGCCAACAGGAUUGGUGAUAAGGGCUUCCUUUUCCUAGACGGGAUUCUUCCCAGGAGAGCAUGGUGCACAGUAGUCAAGAGCUCUAACACUGCUGCAGUAGAAUAACCCUUCGUCUGGGGUACUUCCUGGCCUAUUGAACAUAGGAAGAACCCACAGCUACGGUUACCUAAUGGUGCCAGAAGAGCACAAUCCUCUUUCACCUUUUCUUGCACUGUUAAUGGUUUUCUUUUGAUUGGGAAAUAUUCCUCCAAGGCCUUAUGGAAGAGUCAGCUGGGUGUUUUGACCUGCUCCCUCCCAGGCAGAAAAGCAGUCAUAACUGGAGAAGAUGGAGUGGAUUUUGAUGGCACCAUAUGGAAUCUGAGGAGGUCCAAGACUGUUCCUUCCAUUCUAAAACAUCUGCAGAGGUACAUCAGCUCCUGGGAAGUUCUUGCCAAUCAAUGCAGCUGAUGCAGGAACUCCAAGCUUUCUGUGUGGUGGUGUCCCAAGGAGCAGAAGACAAAGUGAAGGAACUCAAAUACUCCAGCCUUCAGAUACUACAGCCUUGAAUGGCACAGGAUGAGAUGUUGAGCAACACAGAGGCAGGAGAUCAUGGGGGGAAACUCUUCAUCCAGAUUGCACCUGCAUUGAGAUAAGUUUUAAUGAUGAUUUUUAGAGUGUUGCUGCCAGCUAAGCUCAAGCUAAUGCUAGUGAGAAACUACAGUAGGUAAUUCAAGGAGAUGACAUUUUCUUAAAUUCAUUAGCUGCCCAUUGAGGGUUGAAGAGAACAUAACUAAAAAUAAUUACUUAUGAAUUAUAAAGUUCAAAUAGAAUGUGUUACUUUGCUCACACAAAACUUUAAGGGAGACAAAUCAGAGGAGUUUAUUAGCCUAUUCUACUUUUUCAACAAACCUUACAAGGAAGGGAAAACAUAAAAAUAUAAAGGAGUUGAAGAUUCAUGUUUCCAUAAUAGCUGUAUCUGCACUAUCCUACCUGUGGAAUUUAUUCUCUCUGGGUGGUGAUGCUGUUGAAUAAUUUUUAUUUCUCAGCCAUCUUUGUUUUUUUCGCCUGUAAGCAGCUCUUUUGUGUAUGUCUAUUAACAUGCAAUCUCUCCUAGCUAGAACUUUCUUCAGCUGCCUUACACCUGAGCUAGGGGUAUUGCAGGGAGCAAAGGGCAGCAUGCAAAACUGAUCAUAAAUACACUCACAACAAUUCAUUUUUAUUUGAGCUCAUUCAUGCUAAUUGUUCUCUUGAGGCUUGAACUGGAGCACAGAGAAAUCCAAAGGGGACUCACUGGGCUGUGGGUCAGGUUUUCAGGUCACCAGUACAUGGCAAGUGGUGAAUAAUGAGCACUGCACAGUGCCAGCUCCUUAGGCCCGACCCUGAGGAUGGAGGUAAGAAUUCAGCCACUGAUCUCAUCAAGUGCAGUCUCAGGGCUGGAGGAGAGCACAGCCACACACUCCUGCAGCAAAAGGUAGUCACAGACCUUAAUGAUCAGCAGGCUGGUGUGUGCAAGUAAUGUAGUUGACCAUGCCCUGAUUAACUAGUGCAAACUGUGCCCCUGAACGUUUUCUCUAUGGAAUUAGUUCUUUUGUUGAUGGCAAUGCUCCAAGAAGUUGUUAGAGUCGCUGCUGGGACUUGAUAUGAUUACAGAUAUAUUUCCAUGUUCAAUUAUGAGUACCAUGAUGACUGAUUUGUCCCUUCCGCUGGUAUAAACAGGUUAGGAUUAAUACACGUAGUUUGCAAACCAAACUACAUAUAUUAAAAACUGUUUAGGGUGGAUUUUUUUCUUCUCCUUUUUUUUUUUUUUUUGGUUUGGUUUGGUUUUUUGGUGUGUUGUUGGUUGGUUUUGGGAUUUUUUGGGGGUUUUUUGGUUUUGUUGUUGUUGUGGUCUUUUCCUAAACAGAAUCCUUUAAGCCAGUUUUAAAAGUUUGUUCUUGCAGACAGAAACGUUCUUUCCUUUAGUCUAGAUUAGGCAUUUGGAUGGGAAAUGGAAUGUGGAGGUCCUGGGCCAACUUUCUGUGCAACCACAUGUGAACCACUUCAUGCUGUGGCUCCUUGUUUUCCUAUCAAACUUUACCCUACUUUGCUUAAUUUAAAGCCUGUGGGAGGUGGUUGUCGUCUUUUUGUCUUUUAUAGGGACACAAGCAUGUAUGAUCCAAGACUAAGGAUUCUGGACAUCACCACAGUAAUCAUGAUAAAGGCACAUCAGUCUCCAGGAUGUCCUGUUGCUUUCUAUACGUUGAGUUCUACAGUUGUCACAAAGCAUUUGGAAACAGAAGGGGCAUAAGGAGCAUCCUGGCAGCACAGAGAGAACAGAGAGACACUUCCCAGGAUUCAGCUGAUGAGAGGAUGUGACAGCAACAAGCUCACUCUGAAAGAAAUGCGCCUUCCCAGGCAUGAACCAGAUGGGAUGUGUUGGAAAUUAAGGGGGAAGAAAUCGUCCAGGUCUGUGUGUCAAGGAUGGUGAAAAAGAGAGAGAAAAGGCUUCAACGAGAAAGCUGGAAAAACCAGUGUGGAGAGGCAAUGUCAUUCCCAGCUGACCAACACAUCCGUGCAGUUUGUGUGGUUAUGAUCUAUUCCCCCUCAGCUCCAGCCGCCGCUCUCAAUGCUGCCUGCUGCCAAGAAGUAGUGCAUCUGUCAAGAUCCCGCUCUGGAACAGAAGAUCAAACAGGGGCUGAGGAGAACAAAAGCUGACCCAAACCUUUGACCUAAAUUUAACAUAAAGCCAAAUGAAACCUUAGAGAUUUUCUGCUUCUGAAUUCCUCCAAAUUUCUCCCCAGUGUUAAGACUGGACUGUGUGGUGUGUGUAAAUGUAGUUCCUCGGCAGAUCCCAGCCAUGCAGCUGGGAAAAUAAACAUCUCUCUGAAACAUC
Molecule: long non-coding RNA, 3090 nt
Organism: Corvus hawaiiensis (hawaiian crow)
Lineage: Eukaryota; Metazoa; Chordata; Aves; Passeriformes; Corvidae
Exons: 11
Source: RefSeq, a predicted model, not a curated record